CUUCAUUAAUGACUAUACUAUGCCUGUGGCUCCUCUUACAAAAAGGGAUAUGUGGCAACUGGGUGGAACAGGCGACUGCUUUCUAGCCCCAGCUGCACUGCUAACUAGCUGUGGGACUUUGGACCAGUUCUUCAACCUCUCUGGAUCAGGGCUUCUACACAGACAGGAGGAGAAGGUCCUUGCAACACUCUCAGAGAAGGAAGUGAGUACAAGACCCGGGGAAACGAACGCCAGACCUCUUCCCAGGGCGAAGAGCCAGGAUAGGAGGAGUGUACCAAGAAAGUGAGAAGGCGCUGCCCAGCCCUCGCGGAUCACCAGGGAGCAGAUCCCAUCCCCAAGGCUGGGAAGGAUCCCAACAAACCCGAGCGCAAUUCUCACCCCACACCCCACCUUUUCUAGACUCCCAGACAGCCGGGAAGCUCUAAAAAGCCCUGCGGGAAAAAUAAAGAUUUCUUUCCCAGA
Molecule: long non-coding RNA, 462 nt
Organism: Herpailurus yagouaroundi (jaguarundi)
Lineage: Eukaryota; Metazoa; Chordata; Mammalia; Carnivora; Felidae
Exons: 2
Source: RefSeq, a predicted model, not a curated record